CCAAACCGGCCAGCUCCGACCGAGAGACCCUUACGGGCCCUCGUGCGCGAACGGGUUGAAGUCACACGUCGAGGAACCCGCCCGCGCACCGGGAAUACGCUCCUGGAAACGGAGAACAAAUCCCCGAUGUACAGGAAGGAGGCAUCCUUCUUUCUGUGAAACAUCCUUUUCGGGGAUCGGGGCGCGGAUGGACCUGCGGUGCAUUAGUUUGGUCGGCGGGGUAAAGGCCCACCAAGACGAUGAUGCAUAGCCGGCCUGAGAGGGCGGACGGCCACAUUGGGACUGAGACACGGCCCAGACUCCUGCGGGAGGCAGCAGUAGGGAAUUUUCGUCAAUGGGCGCAAGCCUGAACGAGCGAUGCCGCGUGAGUGAAGAAGGCCUUCGGGUCGUAAAGCUCUGUUGCGGGGGAAAAAAGGCAGCAUCAGGAAAUGGGUGCUGACUGAUGGUGCCCCGCCAGAAAGUCACGGCUAACUACGUGCCAGCAGCCGCGGUAAUACGUAGGUGGCGAGCGUUAUCCGGAAUGAUUGGGCGUAAAGGGUGCGCAGGCGGUCCUGCAAGUCUGGAGUGAAACGCAUGAGCUCAACUCAUGCAUGGCUUUGGAAACUGGAGGACUGGAGAGCAGGAGAGGGCGGUGGAACUCCAUGUGUAGCGGUAAAAUGCGUAGAUAUAUGGAAGAACACCAGUGGCGAAGGCGGCCGCCUGGCCUGUUGCUGACGCUGAGGCACGAAAGCGUGGGGAGCAAAUAGGAUU
RNAcentral lists this ribosomal RNA (750 nucleotides) under uncultured bacterium. RNAcentral describes it as "bacterial SSU rRNA". It matches the Rfam family "Bacterial small subunit ribosomal RNA", at positions 49 to 779 of the family's 1533-position model. The record is from RNAcentral.